This 253-nucleotide ribosomal RNA is filed under the name uncultured bacterium. Its description in RNAcentral is "partial 16S ribosomal RNA". It matches the Rfam family "Bacterial small subunit ribosomal RNA", at positions 524 to 776 of the family's 1533-position model. The record is from RNAcentral.
UACGGAGGGGGCUAGCGUUGUUCGGAAUUACUGGGCGUAAAGCGCACGUAGGCGGACUGUUAAGUCGGGGGUGAAAUCCCGGGGCUCAACCCCGGAAUGGCCUUCGAUACUGGCGGUCUUGAGGUCUGGAGAGGUGAGUUGAAUUCCGAGUGUAGAGGUGAAAUUCGUAGAUAUUCGGAGGAACCCCAGUGGCGCAGGCGGCUCACUGGUCAGAUACUGACGCUGAGGUGCGGAAGCGUGGGGAGCAAACAGG